CCCUGAGAGGCAGCGUAGCAAAGCUAAGAGACGCUGCACCAUUCCGUUGUUGGCACGGUAUUCAGCUUCUCAGUGGAUUCUCAUGGGUUUUCUGUGAAGACUGAGUCAGUGUACAUAACACUUCCAGUCGCUCCAGGCAUGUAACGGGCUCCCAUGGCCUGCUGCUCCUUCAGCAGUGCCACCUCCUGGGCCAGACUGUCCAGCUGGCUUCUGAACUCCUCAAACAUCUUGGGACCCACAGCAUCUAGGAACAAGGCAAAAGGAAGGAGACAUCAUCACAAACACAGGAGGCAGGCAGGAGAGAGGACAGGGGGCCUCUUUCCUGUCCCUACCUCGUCCACCACGAGGAGACAAGCAGAAACAACUCCCCUCGGCCUUGAUAAUGUGGUUUACUUCCUCUGGCAGCCGCUGAGCUGCCAACUUGCACUCUGCCACCUGGCCAGCGCAGCAAGUGGUCUCUGCAGACCCAAAUCUCUCCUCUGGACUCCAGCCCCCAUUUUCAUGUACUGGCCCCUACAACUCAAUUUUUCCUGAGAUUGUCCAUCCGCCUUGCUUUUUCAAGGGAUCACUGGAGAUUUGUGGAAAAGGCAGAUCCUACCAGAAAAAGUCUAUGCCUAUGUUUCCGUGGGUGUAGGAACACACGUGAACACACGUGCAUGCAUGGUGCCUGCACAGGACUCCCCUCCAAGCAGUCGAGUCAUGAUUUAAUAUAGAAUCACAGCAAGGGAGUGUUUUUGGCCUGGGGCCGUCUCAAGUUUAGGCCUGGCAUGUCUCCAAGGAGGGCCUCCACAGCCUCAGGGGGACACCAGAUGCCCUGAGAGAAGACAAGCUCAUCACAGAACUAUAAACUUGUACCAUCACCAGCUCCUGUGGCAGCCUCAGAACGUCAUUCUAAAAGGAAAUCUUGUGUUGUGAGUAGCAUGUUGUCCUGUGUCUAUUUGCAUAUUAAACGUGUUAUUUCAUCAAAUGUAAACAUUGAAGAUCUAUCGCCAU
Long non-coding RNA from Talpa occidentalis (Iberian mole), 993 nucleotides. RefSeq lists it as uncharacterized. The transcript has 4 exons. NCBI's taxonomy places the organism in Eukaryota, Metazoa, Chordata, Mammalia, Eulipotyphla, Talpidae. The record is from RefSeq and is a predicted model, not a curated record.